CUCAUAUUGAACCUAGUGAUGUAUGAGUUAGUGGCGGACGGGUGAGUAACGCGUGGAGAACCUGCCGUAUACUGGGGGAUAACACUUAGAAAUAGGUGCUAAUACCGCAUAAGCGCACAGCUUCGCAUGAAGCAGUGUGAAAAACUCCGGUGGUAUACGAUGGAUCCGCGUCUGAUUAGCUGGUUGGCGGGGUAACAGCCCACCAAGGCGACGAUCAGUAGCCGGCCUGAGAAGGUGAACGGCCACAUUGGGACUGAGACACGGCCCAAACUCCUACGGGAGGCAGCAGUGGGGAAUAUUGCACAAUGGGGGAAACCCUGAUGCAGCGACGCCGCGUGAGUGAAGAAGUAUUUCGGUAUGUAAAGCUCUAUCAGCAGGGAAGAAAUACUGACCUUACGGUCAGCAGACGGUACCUGACUAAGAAGCCCCGGCUAACUACGUGCCAGCAGCCGCGGUAAUACGUAGGGGGCAAGCGUUAUCCGGAUUUACUGGGUGUAAAGGGAGCGUAGACGGCAGCGCAAGUCUGAAGUGAAAUCCCAUAGCUUAACCAUGGAACUGCUUUGGAAACUGUGCAGCUGGAGUGCAGGAGAGGUAAGCGGAAUUCCUAGUGUAGCGGUGAAAUGCGUAGAUAUUAGGAGGAACACCAGUGGCGAAGGCGGCUUACUGGACUGUAACUGACGUUGAGGCUCGAAAGCGUGGGGAGCAAACAGGAUUAGAUACCCUGGUAGUCCACGCCGUAAACGAUGAUUACUA
Molecule: ribosomal RNA, 753 nt
Filed under: uncultured bacterium
Lineage: Bacteria
Description: bacterial SSU rRNA
Rfam family: Bacterial small subunit ribosomal RNA
Source: RNAcentral